RNAcentral lists this ribosomal RNA (457 nucleotides) under uncultured bacterium. RNAcentral describes it as "bacterial SSU rRNA". It matches the Rfam family "Bacterial small subunit ribosomal RNA", at positions 340 to 786 of the family's 1533-position model. The record is from RNAcentral.
UACGGGAGGCAGCAGUGGGGAAUAUUGCACAAUGGGCGAAAGCCUGAUGCAGCUAUGCCGCGUGUAUGAAGAAGGCCUUAGGGUUGUAAAGUACUUUCAUCGGGGAGGAAAAACAAAACUAAUAAUUUUAUUUCUUGACGUUACCCGAAAAAGAAGCACCGGCUAACUCCGUGCCAGCAGCCGCGGUAAUACGGAGGGUGCUAGCGUUAAUCAGAAUUACUGGGCGUAAAAGAGCACGUAGGUGGUUUUUUUAAAGUCAGAUGUGAAAUCCCUGGGCUUAACCUGGAACUGCAUUUUGAAACUGAAAUACUAGAGUAUCGUAGAGGGAGGUAGAAUUCUAGGUGUAGCGGUGAAAUGCGUAGAUAUCUGGAGGAAUACCUGUGGCGAAAGCGGCCUCUAAACGAAUACUGACACUGAGGUGCGAAAAGCGUGGGGAGCAAACAGGGAUUAGGAUACC